GGACUACCGGGGUAUCUAAUCCUGUUUGCUCCCCACGCUUUCGCACAUGAGCGUCAGUUUCGGGCCAGUUGGCCGCCUUCGCCACUGGUGUUCUUCCUAAUAUCUACGAAUUUCACCUCUACACUAGGAAUUCCGCCAACCUCUCCCGAACUCAAGACAGACAGUAUCAAAGGCAAUUCCGAGGUUGAGCCCCGGGAUUUCACCCCUGACUUAUCAAUCCGCCUGCGUGCGCUUUACGCCCAGUGAUUCCGAACAACGCUAGCCCCCUUCGUAUUACCGCGGCUGCUGGCAC
Molecule: ribosomal RNA, 292 nt
Filed under: uncultured bacterium
Lineage: Bacteria
Description: partial 16S ribosomal RNA
Source: RNAcentral